UACGUAGGGUGCAAGCGCUAAUCGGAAUUACUGGGCGUAAAGCGUGCGCAGGCGGUUUUGUAAGUCUGGCGUGAAAUCCCCGGGCUCAACCUGGGAAUUGCGAUGGAGACUGCAAGGCUAGAAUCUGGCAGAGGGGGGUAGAAUUCCACGUGUAGCAGUGAAAUGCGUAGAGAUGUGGAGGAACACCGAUGGCGAAGGCAGCCCCCUGGGUCAAGAUUGACGCUCAUGCACGAAAGCGUGGGGAGCAAACAGG
This 253-nucleotide ribosomal RNA is filed under the name uncultured bacterium. RNAcentral's name for it is "partial 16S ribosomal RNA". It matches the Rfam family "Bacterial small subunit ribosomal RNA", at positions 524 to 776 of the family's 1533-position model. The record is from RNAcentral.